CGCCGCCGGUCAUAUAGAGUGCUCCGCCCGCCACCGCAUAUGUAGAAAGGGGGCGGGGAAGGAAGAAAAACCGUUUGACUUUGGCACACGAGGUGGCGGGUUUGGCUGGGUAACAUAAUGGAAAUGUAUCGGACUGCAAAUCCUGGAAUGACGGUUCGACCCCGUCCUUGGCCUCGGGGAGUGGCGAGCAGCACGGAACUUUCAUUAAUCAAAUGGCAUAAAGAAAGGGGGGGCUUUCCUUUGUUAGAAAUCCACAGACAACAUUAUGGAACUUCCAAACCAAAGAAAUGCAACAUGAGAAGUUUUACGUUACGCUUCAAUAGAAUGAAUUCGGUAAGGGUAGAAUACGCCCCAUGGUCGAUCGAAGGUCCUGUGCCACUUGAACUCAAAUCUAUCUUACCUUCCAUCCAUCUUUGUCCAGCCAGCCUGCUCAUAAAUGUUAGACCAACCGGGCUGACACAACCGAAUUGGUUGAGGAAAAGGAAACCCCAGCGACCAAGCACUCCCGCCUCCAACAAAAAGCGGAGACCGAACAAACGCCAGGUUGUCGAAGACACGUCUGAAGAGGAGGCGCCCUCUAAGUUGACCACCCUACCCACUAAUGGACUAUGAGGGGGGGCAGGCGAACGGGAACCGACCGAGAACCCGAACCGCUUGACUGACCCCUUCAUACAUACUCGAUUCAUUAGGGUCGGGGAUGGAUUAAACAAAAAAAAGUGCAAAAAAUCGCGCAAGCGAAGCCGGGAAACGGACCGCAGCGCAACGACUAGGACUCGUGUCGGAGGAGUUUUGAGCGUGAGCUACCACUCAUGCAGCGGCAAGGACCCGCAACUCUCGAAGGGGCCACCAACCGCCCGAAUCACUUUAGUGUAGGAAAGCCUCCCUUUACUCAAUGGAUAGCGCUUAUCCUCUUUCAAUCAAAAAAAUGAUAAAUGGAGGAGAAAGAAAGAGGUCUUUCUUGAAGAGGCUUUGCACCUAGGACUAAUAAAGAUCCAGAAGAAUGGGUCUAGGCUUUCGAAAAGAUGAAGGGUAAAGAUAUUUUAUCUUUUGAACAACCAACCUGACAUAAGGAUUAUAGCUCGCCCAGUUAGAGCAGAUGGAGAUUCUCGGACGGGGAAAAGCGGCACUCGACAUCUAUUCUAUUAAACAACACCAAGAACAAAGCCAUACCAUGCCCUCGGGAUAAACUAGUGAUGAUUGCCAUGAAUGCAGCCCUCGAGGACGUGUACAAGAAGGUCUUUGCCGAUUCCUAUCAACAUGGUGCACCUCUAAGUAGAGGGGCGUGAAAACGCCGUGGAGACUUUGACCGAAUGAAUAGGUAUCAAUUGAUAGACAUUUUGAUUGAGGAAGAUAAUCCAGGAUGAACGCUUUUUUCGUUCGCUAUGUGCUGACUGGAUGCUCGCGUGAUCGAUCGAUGGACGGGGGAAUUGCAUGAAUGACGAGACCGGCCUAACCGAAAGUCAAGGCUCUUCCCUCUCUUGAUGGCGAAUCUUGAUUGACUGACAGACGGAACCGAUUCGGAGAAACAAGAAGCAUGGCAUGAGAUACGCGGCGGCUAAAUUUCCGAUAGCGAAUUACUUGACUCGAUGGAUGGAUGGAGGGAGGGCCCUCCAACUCAAGCACGAAAUCAAUGUUGAGUCAACAAUCAUCGAGACCAGCACCUUUUAUAUAUAGGUUGGGGAAAAGCCCCUUGUAUAGGGUUCCGUUCCAAACCAGCGCUUCUUUUAAUAUCCCAACCAUAAAGAAAGUAGGGGCUUCAAAGCUUGACUAACAAGCGAGAAAGUUUACUUUGAGAAAGUUCGUCCCUCUCCAAGAGGAUGCGCGAACCUCCAAGGCUUUCUCUGAUAGGGGGUUGCGGGUCGAGCGUCUUCAAACCUUAGCCUAUCUAUACUAUAGUAAGGGGCCUUUUCUUGCUCGUUAGCGCUGUUUUUUGAUUGCAGGGCGCUAGCUUACUAAAAUGUCAAUAAUAUAGGGCUUUUUUCUUUCAUCUUUCAGCUUGAUCGGAAUCUAUUCUAUGAUUGAAUAGCAGAAGUGCUACUUAGUAGUAUAAACUCGGAGAGACUGACAGAGAGGCAAUCAUACCUGCUAACUCCUAGGAUGAUAAGUAGGUCCCUUGUUUUUGGCAGGAAUAGUUCAAUUGUAGCCCCUCGGGAGAGUGAGUCUACUUAGCGAACUGGCAGGACGCGGAGAUCGAUUGAUCAAUAUGAAUCUCGAGAGUGGAUGGUUGACCGCCUCCCCCUUGUCCUGGAGGCUCUCCGGCCGAGGAGGGGCUUGCUAUCGUAACCUUUUCUCCCGGUGUAUGUGAAAAAGAGUGACGAACCUUUUUUUGUUCGGUCAUAGGUUGGUGUCCAAAGAACGAGAGUCGACUUCCUUAACUUAAGUCCGUUCUUCCUUAGUAGCUCAGUGGUAGAGCGGUCGGCUGUUAACCGAUUGGUCGUAGGUUCAAAUCCUACUUGGGGAGAAUUUUGAGUUAUCGCUUUUCUGACCUAGCGACCCCUGUCCCUCCCUUGAGUUUCUAAACUAGCAGAAUCGUGGGACAUCAAAAGUGGGAAGUUUAUUGUGUUUUUUUUUUAUAUUUCUUACUCCCUUUUUUAGUUUAGGAACAUGGCUCGUUCAUUCAUUCACUUGCUCAUGAACUCGCAGCUUCGCUAGAAGCGACUAGGGGGGAGCUGUCGUAGAAGCUUUGCCCUUUGUACAGAGAUUGUUAUGAACUGACUAAAUGACUAGCGGAACACUAGCUAAGCUAAAAAAAAGUAUUAGUUCCCAAAAUCAAUAAGCUUUAUUUCGGGUUUUUUUCCCUCCUUCUUAGAACCGGGGCCUGGGCACGGGAAGGGGAGAGUGGUCGAGUGGUCAAAAGCGACAGACUGUAAACCUGUUGAAGUUUUUCUACGUAGGUUCGAAUCCUGCCUCUCCCAG
Molecule: long non-coding RNA, 2916 nt
Filed under: Medicago truncatula (barrel medic)
Lineage: Eukaryota; Viridiplantae; Streptophyta; Magnoliopsida; Fabales; Fabaceae
Description: lncRNA gene39713
Rfam family: tRNA (bases 2390-2461)
Source: RNAcentral